RNAcentral lists this transfer RNA (63 nucleotides) under Rattus norvegicus (Norway rat). It matches the Rfam family "tRNA", at positions 1 to 62 of the family's 71-position model. Rfam says of the family: Transfer RNA (tRNA) molecules are approximately 80 nucleotides in length. The record is from Rfam by way of RNAcentral. Lineage: Eukaryota; Metazoa; Chordata; Mammalia; Rodentia; Muridae.
GGGGAUUUAGCUCAGUGGUAGAGCGCUUGCCUAGCAAGCGAAAGGCCCUGAGUUCAGUUCCCA